This 439-nucleotide ribosomal RNA is filed under the name uncultured Bacillota bacterium. RNAcentral's name for it is "bacterial SSU rRNA". It matches the Rfam family "Bacterial small subunit ribosomal RNA", at positions 917 to 1359 of the family's 1533-position model. The record is from RNAcentral. Lineage: Bacteria; Bacillati; Bacillota.
GGGCCCGCACAAGCAGUGGAUUAUGUGGUUUAAUUCGACGCAACGCGAAGAACCUUACCAGGGCUUGACAUCUAACUAACGAAGUAGAGAUACAUUAGGUGCCCUUCGGGGAAAGUUAAGACAGGUGGUGCAUGGUUGUCGUCAGCUCGUGUCGUGAGAUGUUGGGUUAAGUCCCGCAACGAGCGCAACCCUUACGGUUAGUUGCUACGCGAGAGCACUCUAGCCGGACUGCCGUUGACAAAACGGAGGAAGGUGGGGAUGACGUCAAAUCAUCAUGCCCUUUAUGUCUUGGGCUACACACGUACUACAAUGGCGGCCAACAACGGGAAGCAAAGGAGCGAUCCGGAGCAAAUCCCCAAAAGCCGCCUCAGUUCAGAUUGCAGGCUGCAACUCGCCUGUAUGAAGUUGGAAUUGCUAGUAAUCGCGGAUCAGCAUGCCG